Molecule: ribosomal RNA, 216 nt
Filed under: Glomeromycotina sp.
Lineage: Eukaryota; Fungi; Glomeromycota
Description: partial small subunit ribosomal RNA
Rfam family: Eukaryotic small subunit ribosomal RNA (bases 40-216)
Source: RNAcentral
GGGUCAGUAGGUUGGUCGUGCCACCGGUACGUACUGGUCUCACUGAUUCCUCCUUCCUGAAGAACUGUAAUGCCAUUAAUUUGGUGUUGCGGGGAAACAGGACUGUUACUUUGAAAAAAUUAGAGUGUUUAAAGCAGGCUAACGCUUGAAUACAUUAGCAUGGAAUAAUGAAAUAGGACGAUCGAUCCUAUUUUGUUGGUUUUUAGGACUGACGUA